UCUGGUGAUUUGACGCAGUGGUUCCACCUGUUCUCAUUCCGAACACAGAAGUUAAGCACUGUAGUGCCGAUGAUACUCUUUGGGGAAAGUAGGUAGUCGCCGGAA
This 105-nucleotide ribosomal RNA is filed under the name Parcubacteria group bacterium. The record is from RNAcentral. RNAcentral also lists the same sequence under 1 other name.